GUCCACAGAAUGAGUUCCAGAACAACCAAAGCUAUGAAGAACUCCUACAACAAGAUGAAAAAGACCUGAGAAUCUUCCGGAAACUAGCUGGCUAGCCUGGAGUAGGGGAAGAGCAGCAGCAGAAAUGAGAUACCUUGCCUCAAAACCCUGGGUAGAAGGAGUGAGCCAAGUCCAUCCUCUAGCCUUCCAGAAGUUCAUGACACAAAUAACUAAAUAAAAAUCAAAGACCGAAAA
This is a long non-coding RNA of Peromyscus leucopus (white-footed mouse), 234 nucleotides long. RefSeq lists it as uncharacterized. The transcript has 2 exons. The record is from RefSeq and is a predicted model, not a curated record. Lineage: Eukaryota; Metazoa; Chordata; Mammalia; Rodentia; Cricetidae.